Non-coding RNA from Cinara cedri, 349 nucleotides. The record is from the annotation of a GenBank genome assembly. Lineage: Eukaryota; Metazoa; Arthropoda; Insecta; Hemiptera; Aphididae.
AAAAUAUGUUAAAACAUUUGAUUAUUAUUUAUAAGAAAAAUAAGGUCUAAAAUCGAGGUGGUCCGAGACAUAUUUAAAGUUCUCCGACUAGUCCAUAGUGUCAAAAAUGUUUGGAACCACCGAACUAAACAAUAUAAAGUCUAUUGAUACAACGGCCACUGAAAUAAAUCCGGAGGUCUUUCGAAUUAGACCCCCGAUUAUAACGGACUAUUUCUUUGCUAUCAUUUACAUAUUGUAUGAUUAUCACAGUCGUGAUUAUAAUCUUAUUCCGGUAUCAAAUACAAUUUUUCAUAUCGCGAAGACUAUAAUAAUUCUAUUCUGGUCUAGUUUUGUUCUUCGUGUCUUGUAU